UUCUUCGGAUGAAGUCCUUAGUGACUGAGUGGCGGACGGGUGAGUAACGCGUGGGUAACCUGCCUCAUACAGGGGGAUAACAGUUAGAAAUGGCUGCUAAUACCGCAUAAGCGCACGGUACUGCAUGGUACAGUGUGAAAAACUCCGGUGGUAUGAGAUGGACCCGCGUUGGAUUAGCUAGUUGGCAGGGUAACGGCCUACCAAGGCGACGAUCCAUAGCCGGCCUGAGAGGGUGGACGGCCACAUUGGGACUGAGACACGGCCCAGACUCC
This 272-nucleotide ribosomal RNA is filed under the name uncultured Eubacteriales bacterium. Its description in RNAcentral is "uncultured Clostridiales bacterium partial 16S ribosomal RNA". It matches the Rfam family "Bacterial small subunit ribosomal RNA", at positions 73 to 339 of the family's 1533-position model. Lineage: Bacteria; Bacillati; Bacillota; Clostridia; Eubacteriales. The record is from RNAcentral.